CCUGGCGGCCAUAGCGAACAGGAACCACCCGAUCCCAUCCCGAACUCGGAAGUGAAACUGCUCAGCGCCGAUGAUAGUGUGGGGUUCCUCCACGUGAAAGUAGGACACUGCCAGGC
RNAcentral lists this ribosomal RNA (116 nucleotides) under Gammaproteobacteria bacterium. Lineage: Bacteria; Pseudomonadati; Pseudomonadota; Gammaproteobacteria. The record is from RNAcentral.